Molecule: ribosomal RNA, 168 nt
Filed under: uncultured bacterium
Lineage: Bacteria
Description: partial 16S ribosomal RNA
Rfam family: Bacterial small subunit ribosomal RNA
Source: RNAcentral
CCUACGGGAGGCAGCAGUAAGGAAUAUUGCGCAAUGGGCGAAAGCCUGACGCAGCAACGCCGCGUGGGUGAAGAAGGCCUUCGGGUUGUAAAGCCCUUUUCUGGGGGACGAGACAAGGACGGUACCCCAGGAAUAAGCGUCGGCUAACUACGUGCCAGCAGCCGCGGU